UUAAGGUAAUCAAAAAUCUCUGAUUACAUGGUAGACUCUUAAUCAGAGUAUUGUCUUAAUCAUAUUAAAAUCGGAGUAUUGAUGUCCAUGUAAAUGUACUGCUUGAGGUCAUAAACGCAUGAAUUUGCAUUUCUGCAAUUGACGUUGAGAGCAUAGGUCGCAAUUUAGAUAUGUUUUUGAGAUGGAAAAAACGCAGUUUUACAGAUGCUAGAAACAUGGCUUUCAAAUGAAAGAUUGCUAUCAAACAGCACACCUAGGUUCCUAACUGAUGAAGAAGAAUUGACAGAGCAGCCGUCAAGUGUUAGAUAGUGUUCUAGGUUAUUACAUGUGGUUUUUUUAGGUCCGAUAAUUAACGCCUCUGUUUUUUUAGAAUUUAGCAGUAAGAAAUUACUCGUCAUCCAGUUUUUUUUAUGUCAACUAUGCAUUCCGUUAGUUUCUCAAUUUGGUGUGUUUCACUGGGCCGUGAAGAAAUAUAGAGCUGAGUACCAUCAGCAUAACAGUGAAAGCUAACACUAUGUCUCCUGAUAAUAUCUCCCAAGGGUAACAUGUAAAGCAUGAAAAGUAACGGCCCUAGUACUGAGCCUUGAGGUACUCCAUACUGCACUUGUGAUCGAUAUGAUACCUCUUCAUUCACUGCUACGAACUGAUGGCGGUCAGAUAAGUAUGAUUUGAACCAUGCUAAGGCACUUCCACUAAUGCCAAAAAAGUUUUUCUAGUCUAUUCAAAAGAAUGUUGUGUUCGAUAGUGUCGAACGCAGCACUAAGAUCCAGUAGAACUAAUAAAGAGAUACAACCACGAUCAGAUGAUAGAAGCAGGUCAUUUGUAACUCUAAUGAGAGCAGUCUCAGUACUAUGAUACGGUCUAAAUCCUGACUGGAAUUCCUCACAGAUACCAUUUUUCUCUAAGAAGGAAUAUAAUUGUGAGGAUACUACCUUUUCUAGUAUCUUUGACAGAAAAGGGAGAUUUGAGAUCGGUCUGUAAUUAACUAGAUCGUUGGGGUCAAGUUGUGUUUUUUUAAUGAGAGGCUUAAUAAGAGCCAAUUUGAAGGUUUUGGGAACAUAUCCUAAUGACAAUGAUGAAUUAAUAAUAGCCAAGAGGAUCUUUGACUUCUGGAAGCAGCUCUUUUAGUAGUUUACAUGGAAUAGGGUCUAACAUACAUGUUGUUGGUUUAGAUGAUUUAACAAGUUUAAACAAUUCUUCCUCUCCUAUAGUAGAGAAUGAGUGGAAUUGUUCCUCAGGGGAUCUAUAGUGCACUAUCUGAUGCGAUACUGUAGCUGACGGCUGCAAGGAUACAAUUUUAUCUCUGAUAGUAUCGAUCUUGGAAGUAAAGUAGUUCAUAAAGUCAUUACUGCUGUGCUCUUGGAAAAUGCCAACACCUGUUGAUGCUUUAUUUUUCGUUAAUUUAUGUUUGUUUUCUUCUAGAAGAGAUGAAAAGUAAUCAGAUCUAACGGUUUUUAAUGCCUUUCUGUAGGAUAGGGUACUUUCCCACCAAGCUAUACGAAAUACUUCUAGUUUUGUUUUCCUCUAGCUGCGCUCCAUUUUCCGGGCUGCCCUCUUUACGGUGCGAGUGUGCUCAUUAUACCACGGAGUCAGACUGUUUUCUUUGAUCUUCCUUAACCCUCUGGGGUCGACAAACGUGUAUACGCGUUUUGAGGCAGAUUUUCCUGAUAAGGCCGAAAUGAGCUUGAAUUACUCUGCCAUUUUUGAUCGUACAGAUAAGAGCAAUACACCAUUCGAAUCUGUAAGGGGUCUACUUUUAUUUGUAUACACUCAUAAUAACAACUAAACUUUGUGCUUUUGAAGAAUAAAGAAAACAAACAGGGAGCGCUCUCUGUCUUCUCCGUCUCCGCGAACUGCUUUUUGAAACACGUCACUAAAAUGAACUGUAACUCAGCAAAUACUUCACACAGAGACAUGAGUAAUAUAUCUAUAGAAAGCUUGAAAUGUCUACUAUUAAAUGAAAAAAAUUAAGUCGAAAACAAAUAAUCUGUUUUUAUGUAAUCCGUAUGAAAGUAAGGAGUGGUCCGGUUUCUCCUGUAUCGCCUCAUUACAGCUAAUGUGAUCCCGCCCCCCACUGAGCGCGCUGUUCAUAUGUAAAUGAACUGAGGUGAGCCAGGUCACGUACACGCCUCCGAGAAAUGGCAUAAAACGUCAAGCUUCAUCAUAGAAUUACUUACUUUUUCUGCGCGUUGGGAAGAUGGCACGCUACACGGGUGAAGACGCACUUCGGAUGGUUCUGGACAGCGACGAAGAGUUUACUUUCUCCUCAGAGGAAGAACGCGACUCAGAUGACGAACGUUUGCAUUUUGAAGAGCGUCUGGACCCAGCGGAGGAUAUAAUUCCUGACGAGACUGUGGCUGCAUGACCGGCUUCUUGCACAAGAAAGGCACGCGAGUGUCGUUCAGUUUUGAGUUCGCUGGAAAAUCACAAUCAGACUUUGAAUACACCACUCUUGCCUUCACCUGCAUCUCGCACAGGAAGGAG
Onychostoma macrolepis is the source of this 2484-nucleotide long non-coding RNA. RefSeq lists it as uncharacterized. The record is from RefSeq and is a predicted model, not a curated record. The transcript is spliced from 3 exons. Lineage: Eukaryota; Metazoa; Chordata; Actinopteri; Cypriniformes; Cyprinidae.